UACGUAGGGAGCAAGCGUUGUCCGGAUUCACUGGGCGUAAAGGGUGCGUAGGCGGGUUUUUAAGUCAGAGGUGAAAUCCUGGAGCUCAACUCCAGAACUGCCUUUGAUACUGAAAGUCUUGAGUAUGGGAGAGGUGAGUGGAACUGCGAGUGUAGAGGUGAAAUUCGUAGAUAUUCGCAAGAACAUCAGUGGCGAAGGCGGCUCACUGGCCCAUAACUGACGCUGAGGCACGAAAGCGUGGGGAGCAAACAGGG
This 254-nucleotide ribosomal RNA is filed under the name uncultured bacterium. RNAcentral's name for it is "partial 16S ribosomal RNA". It matches the Rfam family "Bacterial small subunit ribosomal RNA", at positions 524 to 777 of the family's 1533-position model. The record is from RNAcentral.